CUCCUGCUUUCAAUAAAAAAAACAAAUAGUUAGAAUAGUUAAACGAAUAAUACAAACUGAUAGUUCAUGCAAGGUAAGAGCUUCCGUAGCUUGUUAGUUGGUCUAACGAAUACUUGAACCCCUGUUUAUACCUUUGUUAACACUCCAAUUGCAUUAUAUGCAAUUGAAUACAAUUAAUUUAAAGAAACUCUAAGCAUUAUUGGCUAAGAUAAAAACUGUGAACAAACAUGAAUUUAAAUUCGACUCAACAAGCAUUAAGAAAUCCUAAUGACCAUCACGCUGAGGAGGAGAGAAGUGUGCAAAGAAAAGAAGAGAAUACCUGGGCUUCUGAGGCAUAGAGAUAUUUUCAACUGCUGGAACAAAAAUGGUUUCACAAUUGAUUAUACAAUGACAAUAUAAUUCCUUCUGAACACAUAAUUCAGGACUUUAAAUUGAGGAAAAAUUGACGUAGGUUUAGGAAUUACCUCUUAAUAUGAAAUAUGCUGGAGUCUAAAGUUUGAGCUUCUUCCAAAGUAACUAUCACCAAACUUAAAAAAGAACUCUCCUAAAAUAAUAACACAAUCUAAAAGAACAAUCAAAUAUGUUGACAGAGAAGUCAUCUCUUGUUUGAGUUCUAUAAUGUUCACUUUGUAGUUAUAAACAAAAGAUAAGUUUUCCAUGAAGAUAUUUAAUUGUUCUUUCAAAUUAUGGUAAUCUUUCAGGAGAGUUCUUUCUAAAUUUAGUGAUAAAUGCUUUGGAAGAAGCUCAAGUAUUAUCAUUCAUAUUUGACUCUUUAGAUAUACCUGUAGAAAAAUGUGGAGCUUCAUGAAGUAAGUAGAAGUGUAAGAAUUAAAGCGCAUUUGAAGUGGAGAUACAGGAAAAAAACCAAUUAUAUAUUAGAGCAUACAUGAAGUAAGAAUAAACAUUUUUAGUGGCACGAAGGUAUACCCUUGAAAGCUAAAUGUAGGCGCACCGAAAGAAAUACCUAAAAAUUGAGUUAGGCGGAAAUACUAUUCAUAUAGACUCAUAGU
Molecule: long non-coding RNA, 1010 nt
Filed under: Olea europaea subsp. europaea
Lineage: Eukaryota; Viridiplantae; Streptophyta; Magnoliopsida; Lamiales; Oleaceae
Source: RNAcentral